UAUCGUAAUAUAAACAUAAGAACAACCUUUAACACCUAAGAAACACAUAAGAAAUCACUCAAGCAAUUUAUCACAUUUUUAAGGAACACUUUACAGUGAGCUAAGAAUUCACUGUUACAGUAAAGUCCCUUAACUUUAAUUGAGUCACUUUCUAGCAUGUAAUUCCCACACUAAAAACUAUCCUAAGACUCACUUAAGUAAGACAAAGAGAGACCACCUAUACACUCUCUCUAGGCACACCUAAAUGAUCUUGAAGACCACCUAUAAUGAGAUACACACACUUACAAUACACCAAACACAUGAGUAUGAGAUCCUCCUACCAAAGGUGAUUCUAAGGCUCACUUGAGUGAGUUGUGAAGCGACCGCCCAAUAUAAUCAUGAAUUUGAUGCAUAAAUGUUAUAAGACUUUCAAUAGAAAUCAUUAUCUUCCUCAUAAUUAUUUUUUGGUAAUCUUCUACGGUGAAUUCUCCGGCAAGUUCGAACGGAAAAAUCAUAAAUUUUAAAUUAAAAAUUAUUAACUUUUCUUUUGAAGUCAUCAUAUUCUCCACUCCUUUCUAUUUCUUUUUAUAAGUUCAUUUUUAAAGGUAGAGUGUUGGAUGUGCUUCCGUCAAACAAUCAAUGAUGACAUAUCUAGUGAUCCCUAAGAAGAAGAAGAACUCCAAAUUAAGAAAGAUGUAAAUGAUUUAAAGAAAUUGGGGUCACCAAUAACAGAUUAAAAAAUAAAGAAAAAUGAAAUAAUUGAUUUAUUAAAAAUUGUAAUAUAGUGACUAAUAUAAUAGUGUCAUGUGUUCAAAAUUUUCAUUCUAACAUAUAUUUUUUUCUUCUCACGCACCUUAAGGAAUGUGAGGACACUUUUUUUGUCAUGUCACGUUUUGAGGUGGUAUUAAUAUCACUUUGAACAAGAUUAGGUGUGUAAUAGGUCACUGUAAUAGUUUAAGCGUGUAACUGACUUUUCGGUAUAAAUUCAAGGAGGAAUUUAUGUCUUUUGCCAAUGGUAUUAUAUGAUCUAUUACUAAUACCUUCCAUUGGAGGUAUUAGUAAAUCAUAUGACAUAAUAUCAUGGGAAAAGUCUAUGUAAAGAGAAUAAUAUCCCCCAAAUCAUUUUAAUUAUUUUAUUUGUUUUCUUGAUUUUAUGUUUUAUAUUUGUACUAGUAAUUUAUUUAAAUAAAUUAGAUUUAAAAUUAUUUAGAGAAAGUUGUUUGUUACUAAAUAAAUCUAAUUCAAAUUUGAAAUGAGAAUUAUUUAACAUUAACUAAUUAAAAAAUAAAUAUAUCAUUACAUGACGUUUGGAUCUUAAUUGCAUAUUUUUAUUUAUAUACAUAAAUAUAUAUAUAUACACACACUAGCGUAUGACUUGGUAAUGUUUGAUUUCUAAAAAGCAGAUUUUGUGCUAAUUUGAGUAGCUAUGGAUUUCCACAAACUCUACAUUAGGGUUAACAAAAGAAAAUUCAAUGACAAUUUAUAAUAUAUACUACUAAAACACUGGAAAUAUUGACUUAAAAAGUAUCGACCUCAAAUUGAGGUCGAUAAUUUCCGACCUCCAGAGGUCGGUAUUGUUAAAAAGAAUAAAAAAUAAUUUCUUUUAGAAAACCGACUGCAAGUCAAUUUUUAUGCAAACUAAAGUGGGAAAAUAAAAUUCCGACAGGAGGUCGAAUUUUUCCUGGAAAAAUGAAUUACAAUAAAAACCGACCUCUUGAUGUCAGUAUUAAAUGAAUGAAUAAAUAAAAACAUUUUGUUUUGUUCUCAAUUAAAUAUAAAAAACAAAAUUGAGAAAUAUUUUGAAUUAAUUUUAUUUAAAUCGUCUUUUAGAGGAUGAUUUUGUGUAAAAAAACUAAUAGUAUCGACUUCAGUAGUUGGUAAAAUUAAAUAAUAUGUAACAAAAUUACUUUUCAUUAAAAUAUUUCUAUAGUGACUUCAGGAAAAUUAAUAAAUUAAUAUUUUCAAUUAACUUUAGAUAAAUCGUCCUCCGGAUGACGAUUUUAUAUAUUAAAGGUAAAUUAAUAUAAAAUACCGACCUUAUGAGAUUGGUAUUUUCACUUCAUCCAUUUACUUUUAAUAAAAGCUACAUUCGGAGGUCGAUUUGUUUAAAAUAUUCCUAUUAAUCAUAAUUUUACUAGCAUAAUACUAAAUUUUCAUUUCACACCGACAGUUAAUUGUUCAAAAAAGUGAAACAAUUUUGUAUACUUUUAUAAAUAAAAAGUUAGAUCAAUAAUCGAUAUUUAGAGUAUGAACCUACGUAAUCGACUACAAGUAGCAAACUUUUAUGCAAAAUAAAGAUGAAAAAUCAAAUUCCGACCUCCUUAGGUCGGAAUUAUUCCCAGAAAAAUGAACCACAAUAAAAACUGACCUCUUGAUGUCGGUAUUAUAAACGAAUAAAUAAAUAAAUAAAUAAAUAAUUCUCAAUCAAAUAUAAAAAUAAAAUUGAGAAAGAUUUUGAAUUAAUUUUAUUUAAAUCGUCUUAUGGAGGACGAUUUUGUGUAAAUAAAAAACAAACAAAUUAUAAUGUCAGCUUCUGGAAGUCGGUAAAAUUUAAAUAGUAUGUAAUUAUAUUAACUUUUGUUAAGAUAUUUAUAUAGCGACUUUAAAAUAAAUUGAUAAAUUAUUAUUUUCAAUCAAAUUUAAAUAAAAAAUCGUCCUCUGGUUGAUAAUUUUUUAUAAAAUAAAAAUAAAUUACUAUAAAAUACCGAUCUAUCUGAUGUCAAGAUUAUUUAAUUAGCAUGAUUACUUUUUUAUUUAUCUUAAAACUUAAUGUGAUACCGACCUCAUGAUGUCGAUAUUUUUUAUUAAAUCUAAUUACUUUUUGUAUCUCAUGUAAUGAUGUAGAUGUGAAGUAACAUAUAAUCCAUUCGAAUAUGAAAUGCAAGAUAAUACUCGUAGAAAUGUUGGUAACAAUUGAUAAAAUUUUAUAUUUGUAAUUAAUUGUUUAACUAUUUAUAUGUAUAACCUUCAAUGUCUUAUCUUGUUUUAUGAAAUAGAGAAUAGAACAUCGUAGAUUAUUGUACAAAGCAAGUUCUAUCGAGAUUAUUACGUUCGAUCUUGAAUGGAUGUCAAGUGUAGUGAUCAUAUCGUAGACAAUGACAUUUAAAGGAUAAUUUAUCGAAGUAUGAAAUAAGUUGAUAAUAUACUUCUCGAGUAGUUUAACAAAUGAAGUUUUAUAUAUUAGUGGUUCAAAUAUGAUAUACAUCAUCAAUUAAAGAAAUAUCAAUGAUCAAUUUAAGGAGAUUUAUAUAUUAAAUUUGAUACUGAUAAACUUCAGUUGAUCGAUAAAAAUAAAUUAUAGAAUUACACUACUAUAUUUUAGGCCUACAACAACAUUAAAUUUAGAUAAUGCUUGUAAAGUGUUGUCUAAAAUAUUUUUGGGGACACUUUUAAAGCGUAGCCCAAGUUUUUAAUUUUUGCCUUUGAUAAUAUUGAUAACACUUGUAAAACGUACUCUUUAAUUGUGUAGGAUGCAC
This is a long non-coding RNA of Solanum pennellii, 3455 nucleotides long. RefSeq lists it as uncharacterized. The record is from RefSeq and is a predicted model, not a curated record. The transcript has 2 exons. NCBI's taxonomy places the organism in Eukaryota, Viridiplantae, Streptophyta, Magnoliopsida, Solanales, Solanaceae.